This is a long non-coding RNA of Trachemys scripta elegans, 470 nucleotides long. RefSeq lists it as uncharacterized. Lineage: Eukaryota; Metazoa; Chordata; Testudines; Emydidae. The record is from RefSeq and is a predicted model, not a curated record. The transcript has 4 exons.
CCCUGAAGCUGAAAUAUCUGAGCAAGAGAGACAGUCAUCACCUGACUACUGAGAGCGCCCUUGUCCGUCUUCCUUCUCUCCAGUGACUCUAAGUUCCCAGCCAACCUUCAGCCAUGAAAAUCCUUUUCCUGCUGUUUGCCGUGGUCUUCUUGGUGCUCAUGGAUGCCCCAGGGUUCUCCCAGGCUCAGCUGACCCGAAAGGAAUGUUCGCGCCGUGCGGGAUCCUGUUACCUUAGACGAUGUCCCAUCAAAUCUCUAUACCUUGCAAGAUGCCAUCCCCGUGGUGUUUGCUGUCGAAAAUGGUAUGACUGAUUGUCGAGGCAGGAUCUCUUGGAAUCUGGCACACAGCCACUUGCUUCUAAAAUCAUCAGAUCCUGCUUCAAUGGAACCCUGAAAUGCUGUUCAUUUGGGCUAUAAGGAACCUUUUGAGGUGGAGAAAUUCCAGAAGGGAACCCUUGAAUCUCCCAUAUA